AUUGAACGCUGGCGGCAUGCUUUACACAUGCCAGUCGAACGGCAACGAGGAGAAGCUUGCUUCUCUGUCGGCGAGUGGCGAACGGGUGAGUAUAGCAUCGGAACGUGCCAAGUAGUGGGGGAUAACCAAACGAAAGUUUGACUAAUACCGCGUAAGCGCCAAGGGGGAAAGUAGGGGACCUAAAUAAGGCCUUACGCUAUUUAAUCGGCCGAUGUCGGAUUAGCUAGUUGGUGGGGUAAUGGCUCACCAAGGCAAUGAUCCGUAGCGGGUCUGAGAGGACGAUCCGCCACACUGGGACUGAGACACGGCCCAGACUCCUACGGGAGGCAGCAGUGGGGAAUUUUGGACAAUGGGGGAAAGCCUGAUCCAGCCAUGCCGCGUGUAUGAAGAAGGCCUUAGGGUUGUAAAGUACUUUUGUUAGGGAAGAAAAGCUAGUUUUUAAUAAAAAGUAGUGAUGACGGUACCUAAAGAAUAAGCACCGGCUAACUACGUG
RNAcentral lists this ribosomal RNA (493 nucleotides) under uncultured bacterium. RNAcentral describes it as "partial 16S ribosomal RNA". It matches the Rfam family "Bacterial small subunit ribosomal RNA", at positions 30 to 507 of the family's 1533-position model. The record is from RNAcentral.